UACGUAGGGUGCGAGCGUUAAUCGGAAUUACUGGGCGUAAAGCGUGCGCAGGCGGUUUUGUAAGCCAGAUGUGAAAUCCCCGGGCUUAACCUGGGAAUGGCAUUUGGGACUGCAAGGCUGGAGUGUGGCAGAGGAGACUGGAAUUCCUGGUGUAGCAGUGAAAUGCGUAGAUAUCAGGAGGAAUACCGAUGGCGAAGGCAGGUCUCUGGGCUGACACUGACGCUCAGGUGCGAAAGCUAGGGGAGCGAACAGG
RNAcentral lists this ribosomal RNA (253 nucleotides) under uncultured bacterium. RNAcentral's name for it is "partial 16S ribosomal RNA". It matches the Rfam family "Bacterial small subunit ribosomal RNA", at positions 524 to 776 of the family's 1533-position model. The record is from RNAcentral.